Molecule: unclassified non-coding RNA, 753 nt
Filed under: Leishmania donovani
Lineage: Eukaryota; Euglenozoa; Kinetoplastea; Trypanosomatida; Trypanosomatidae
Description: gene:unknown
Source: RNAcentral
GGUCAGAAACGAACAGAAAAUGAGCAACUGGAAGGCACAAACACGCACACACACACACACACAUACACGCAUAUAUAUAUAUAUAUAUGCAUGCAUGCCCCCGUAAUUGUCCUUUCCACAUGCAUAUCAGAGGCACAUGCAGCUGCAGCUUAUCGACGGCUAGGAAGCGAAGCGAGGCGGAGCGAGACAAGGAGGAAGAAACGCAACUGAGAGCGUUUCGAUCAGUUGCACAGCACCAUGCGCUACCCUCUUGACCUACGCAUUCUGCGCUGUACUCCAAAGCGACUUCCUCUUGCGUGGUAGGGGAUGAGAUGCUGGUGCGCUGCCAGCCGCUCACUGAGGGGCAGGAAGGGAGAGUGAUGAAAAAGAGUGCGGCGCCGCGCUGCCGCGUGCACUCUCACCGCGCCUUGUUUUCUCCUUUUCUUAUCGUGCAUCAUCUGCGCCGCUCUGCUCUUGUGGCGAUUUCUCUGUUCGCCACCUCAUCCGACUUCCUCUGUGCUGCCUCGUGAGCGUCACUGCAGAGGGGUAAGGUUCUUACGCGUCUCUCUCGCUCUCCUUUUCUCAGCUGUUCGGUGAGCCCAACUGCAUGCUUGUCAGUCUGCUGCGUGUGCAUGUACGUGUAUUCGUCUCCGUGUGUGAUGCACAUUUCGACCCCUCACUUAUCGGCUGCUCUCCUCCCCCUCCGUCGUCUCUCCGGUUCGCUCUCUUUUUCUGUAUCCCUCACCGUUGCGAUCAUGCAAUGGGGAGCACAAG